Molecule: long non-coding RNA, 359 nt
Organism: Choloepus didactylus (southern two-toed sloth)
Lineage: Eukaryota; Metazoa; Chordata; Mammalia; Pilosa; Megalonychidae
Exons: 3
Source: RefSeq, a predicted model, not a curated record
GACUACCUCGCGCGGUGUGUGUACAAACACAAAAGACGUGCAGAGGGGCUUCAGGCUCUCGCCCCAGAUGGCGCCCGCCCCCGGUUUAGUAUCUGCUCCCGGCCCCUCACCCCGCUCGAAAGGAAAGGAUGGAUGCAGCAAGAAUGAGAGUGGACACUACUCUCUGGGCCUAUGGAAGGAAGCCAGCUUCAGCUGCUAUAAAACAGUUCAGAACCAAGGAGUUGGGCCCUUGGAGAGUUGAGGAGAGAAACGGCACUUUAGCAGGGGUUUUUAAUUCAAGAAAAAAAAACAAAAAACCUUUUGGAAGUACAAUUGGAACCAUAUGCCAUUUUGAUGAGAAUUUUCAGAACUAAAAACAC